Molecule: long non-coding RNA, 215 nt
Filed under: Setaria italica (foxtail millet)
Lineage: Eukaryota; Viridiplantae; Streptophyta; Magnoliopsida; Poales; Poaceae
Description: long non-coding RNA (SITA_LNC004689)
Source: RNAcentral
UAGAACAUACCUCACAGCGCGAUCUUCCCACCCUUCUGUCUGGAGCGUAACACCACUCUGUGUCAGCUCGUCAACUUGCCUCUGCCACUCUAGUAUUUUCCUGAUGUAACCCCUAGAACCAAUGUCGUGGGGAUUGACUUUUUUCUUAGCAUUCUCUGACCUCUUGUAUUCAACAAAUUCUGGCCAAUAAUCUUUUUGCUUAGAGUGAACUGUCC